UCGGUGUCGCGGAGCGAGAGCGCGCACUCUGGUACCCGAAAGAUGGUGAACUAUGCCUGGGCAGGACGAAGCCAGAGGAAACUCUGGUGGAGGUCCGGAGCGAUUCUGACGUGCAAAUCGAUCGUCAGACCUUGGUAUAGGGGCGAAAGACUAAUCGAACCGUCUAGUAGCUGGUUCCCUCCGAAGUUUCCCUCAGGAUAGCCGGCGCUCUAGUAAUCGGUCUCAUCCGGUAAAGCGAAUGAUUAGAGGCCUUGGGGCCGAAACGACCUCAACCUAUUCUCAAACUUUAAAUGGGUGAGAAGUCCGGCUUGCUCGACUGAAGCCCGGACCGUAGGACGUGAGUGCCGAGUGGGCCACUUUUGGUAAGCAGAACUGGCGAUGCGGGAUGAACCGAACGCCGGGUUACGGCGCCAGAUGCCAGACGCUCAGCAGAUCCCAGAAAAGGUGUUGGUUGCUAUAGACAGCAGGACGGUGGCCAUGGAAGUCGGAAUCCGCUAAGGAGUGUGUAACAACUCACCUGCCGAAGCAACUAGCCCUGAAAAUGGAUGGCGCUCCAGCGUCGAGCCUAUACCCGGCCGUCGCGGCGGUGCGGCGCAACGUAUGCCGCG
This 608-nucleotide ribosomal RNA is filed under the name Feaella capensis. Its description in RNAcentral is "partial large subunit ribosomal RNA". It matches the Rfam family "Eukaryotic large subunit ribosomal RNA", at positions 781 to 1376 of the family's 3401-position model. The record is from RNAcentral. Lineage: Eukaryota; Metazoa; Arthropoda; Arachnida; Pseudoscorpiones; Feaellidae.